GCCCAAUAGCUAGCCCCCCAAAACCAAAAACAAUUAACCACCAUUAAUAACCCCAAACACACUAGUGUUAAACUAAACAAAACAUUUUUCCACCUCAGUACGGGCGACGGAAGAGGAACAAACGGCGCAAUAGAGAAAGUACCGCAAGGGAACGCUGAAAGAGAAAUGAAAUAACUCAGUAAAGCCCUAAGAAGCAGAGAUUUUAACUCGUACCUUUUGCAUCAUGAUUUAGCUAGUAAUACCCAGGCGAAGAGAACUUUAGUCUGACUCCCCGAAACUAAGUGAGCUACUCCAAGGCAGCCUAUUAAUAGGGCACACCCGUCUCUGUGGCAAAAGAGUGGGAAGAACUUUGAGUAGAGGUGACAGACCUACCGAACUUAGUUAUAGCUGGUUGUCUGAGAAAUGAAUAGGAGUUCAGCCUCCCGGCUUCUUUACUCACCCCUGUCCUACUCCCUACAGACCUUUUAAGAAACCGCGAGAGUUAGUCAAAGGGGGUACAGCCCCUUUGAAAAAGAUACAACUUUCCCAGGUGGGUAAAGAUCAUAAUAACCUAAAGUAAAAUGCUUUGGUGGGCCUAAAAGCAGCCAUCCCCUUAGAAAGCGUUAAAGCUCAGGCAUAUCAUUUACCUCAUUAUUCUGAUAAUUCAUCUCAGCCCCCUAAUUUUACCAGACCGCCCCAUGCAACCAUGGGACAGACCAUGCUAAUAUGAGUAAUAAGAGGGCCAGGCCCUCUCCCUGCACACGUGUAAAUCGGAACAGACCAACCACCGAACCCUAACGGCCCCAAAUAAAGAGGGUAAUGAAUGACAGACCAAACAACAAGAAGAGUCUUCAACUUUUGACCGUUAACCCCACACUGGUGUGCCCCCCGGGAAAGACUAAAAGAAAAAGAAGGAACUCGGCAAACACAUGAAGCCUCGCCUGUUUACCAAAAACAUCGCCUCUUGCAAAUAAAGAAUAAGAGGUCCCGCCUGCCCUGUGACUAUAAGUUUAACGGCCGCGGUAUUUUGACCGUGCGAAGGUAGCGCAAUCACUUGUCUUUUAAAUGAAGACCUGUAUGAAUGGCAUAACGAGGGCUUAGCUGUCUCCUUUUUCAAGUCAAUGAAAUUGAUCUCCCCGUGCAGAAGCGGGGAUAAAACCAUAAGACGAGAAGACCCUGUGGAGCUUUAGACACCAAGGUAAAUCAUGUUAAACAUCCCUGGACAAAGGGCUAAACCAAAUGAAAAUUACCCCUAUGUCUUUGGUUGGGGCGACCGCGGGGAAACACAAAACCCCCACGUGGAAUGGGACCACUCCCUCCUACAACUCAGAGCCUCCGCUCUAAUGGAACAGAAUUUCUGACCAGCAAGAUCCGGCAACGCCGAUCAACGAACCGAGUUACCCCAGGGAUAACAGCGCAAUCCCCUUUUAGAGUCCAUAUCGACAAGGGGGUUUACGACCUCGAUGUUGGAUCAGGACAUCCUAAUGGUGCAGCCGCUAUUAAGGGUUCGUUUGUUCAACGAUUAAAGUCCUACGUGAUCUGAGUUCAGACCGGAGUAAUCCAGGUCAGUUUCUAUCUAUGCUAUGAUUUUUUCUAGUACGAAAGGACCGAAAAAAAGAGGCCCAUGCUUCAAGUACGCCUCACCCCCACCUAAUGAAGACAACUAAAUAGGCAAAGGGCAUGCCCCCUUUUGCCUGAAAUUAGGCA
Molecule: ribosomal RNA, 1686 nt
Filed under: Micropterus treculii (Guadalupe bass)
Lineage: Eukaryota; Metazoa; Chordata; Actinopteri; Centrarchiformes; Centrarchidae
Description: partial 16S ribosomal RNA
Rfam family: Bacterial large subunit ribosomal RNA
Source: RNAcentral